This is a non-coding RNA of Mycena crocata, 88 nucleotides long. The record is from the annotation of a GenBank genome assembly. NCBI's taxonomy places the organism in Eukaryota, Fungi, Basidiomycota, Agaricomycetes, Agaricales, Mycenaceae.
GUGGAUGUGGUGCGCGGUGCACGGCUGCUGCUACAUAUGAUACCUGUCUACCUAAAUCAGUUAGCGGGUUCGACUCCCGACAUCCACA